UACGUAGGGUGCAGGCGUUACUCGGAAUUACUGGGCGUAAAGCGUGCGCAGGCGGUUUCUUAAGUCAGAUGUGAAAGCCCCGGGCUUAACCUGGGAACUGCGUUUGAAACUGGGAGACUUGAGUGUGGCAGAGGGGGGUGGAAUUCCACGUGUAGCAGUGAAAUGCGUAGAUAUGUGGAGGAACACCGAUGGCGAAGGCAGCUCCCUGGGUUAACACUGACGCUCAUGCACGAAAGCGUGGGGAGCAAACAGG
Molecule: ribosomal RNA, 253 nt
Filed under: uncultured bacterium
Lineage: Bacteria
Description: partial 16S ribosomal RNA
Rfam family: Bacterial small subunit ribosomal RNA
Source: RNAcentral